GGGCGAGGAGUAGGGCGAAGAAGUGGCGAUGGAAUCGGCGGCUGAGGCAGCGAGGAACGCGAAGGAGACGCUGGAGCUGGCGUUCCAGAUGUCGAACAUCUUGGAGACGGGCCUUGACCGCCACACCCUCUCCCUCCUCAUCGCGCUCUGCGACCGCGGUGUCAACCCUGAGGCCCUCGCGGCCCUCGUCCGCGAACUCUCCCCCGCGCCGCGCGCUACGCCACCAGACCCCUCCACCACCACCAACUCCUCCUCCUCGUCUCGUCCGAAUACGGUCCACCAUUAGGUGGGUCCUCUUGCCUCCACCCCGAGGUCUAGAAGCUUGCAGCAUUGUUUCUGCCAUCUGAGACUGAGGAUUCUGUCACAAAUUUGUUACCAUGAAGAGAUUUGAGAAAAAGGAAGGUCUUAAAAAAUUUAAGGUUAUCUUUGUGCAGGAAAAUUAUUAUCCAUGCUUGUAAACAAAUUGUUGUGUGAAAAAUGUAAUAGUUUGAGGCAUUACCUUGUCUUGUCUACUUUUUCCACCUUGUUUGAUUGCUAUAUGUUGUAUUAGGUUCAUAGCUAUGUCCCCAAAAGUUGAUUGGUUGUGUACCCAUAACUUGGUUUACUUUCUUUUCAUUUGCAUGCCUUCCUUUUUUAAACUCAUGUCAAUGCCCCUGUUGCCAUUGAGAAACCAAGAAAUUAGUUCCACUAGUAGUAGAUGUCUCUGGUCUUACAAUCCAGUCAAAAUUUAUUCUGGUUGCAGUAUUAUUAGAAACAAUGGAUUAUUUUUGCUUGUGAAGCCAUUCAAAGCUUAAACAGAACAUGAUUGUUUGAAAUAAUCCUUGACUCCGUAUUACUUGUGAAUCUGCAUACAUGUUUGUAUAUAUGAUCUUUUUAUGUUACCUCAUUAAUGUUAUUUUACAUUUAGUACAUGUGUAUGUAUGUAUAUAUGUAAUAUAUGUAUAUAUGUAUAUGUGUUUGUGCAUAUAUGCCUGUGUAUAUAUAUAUAUAUAUAUAUCAUGGAACGAUUCCAACAUGGUUUUAUUGUCAUUAUAUUGGGCCGGGCUUUAUUGGCCCAAAGGCUCCUUUUGUGGUCGGCUUCUCCUAUGAACGGAAAGAAAAAAGCUUUCUCUCGCUUCCCCCACUUUCCAUCAUCGCCUUCCUUCUUCUUCUUCUUCAUCUCUCCACUUUGGAACCCUAGCAUGACGGCGACAAGAAAUUCGAGCCAGCGGCCUUGCCGUCCAGAGUCGGCCGGGAGCAUCGAAGGAGAAGAGCCCCGAGGCCGCUGCACGCUUCCCUACCGUCACUCCCCUCUCCAGGUGCUGCCUCCGCUUCCUGAAGUUAGAGUGCAUCAAGGACUGCCUCCUCCACCCCCAGGAGGAGAAGAACGAGUCCAAGGUCGACGACCUUCGGUGGUCGCCCGUGAGCGUCGGGAGCCUGGAGGAGCUCAUCGGCGAGAGCCACCCCAUCAUCUCUUCGUCGUGUGGGUCGGAGUACCAUCAUCUCGAACGGGGUUGCUCCAUCCUAGUGCACAACAAGGUAAAAUUGCUCACACUAUAUGAAGUAAAGCAAAGUUGUUCUCAAGGGGCCCUUGAUGUCGCAUGAGAUAAGAUGCGACACCUCUUCAUCAGGCUUGAGAUAUUGUUUUUUCUAUCUGUAGGUUCCUUUGGUCUCAUCUUGGAUAGAUCUAUUGCAAUAUAUGUACUUGAAUUUCCCAUAAUUACAUAUCAUAGACUCGGUAAUAUCCUCUAGAUGAAGAUAUGAAGGACUUUCUCUAAAGUUGGCAUGCUACACAGACUUUGUUUCAUUAACUCAUUUAGAAUGAAUUCUUGGUCAGAGCUAAUUGAAUCUGAAUGUUCUUCAGUCAUGCAUAAUUUUUUAAUCUAAGUAUCAUUAAAUUACUUCAGUCCAAAUUCUACUGUUCAUGUUUCACAUUGACUUCGGAUUGGAAAUAGACAUAGUUUACUUGUUCCAUUUUUCACACACAACACAAGAAGUGAAUCACUUUCAACCUUAGUCAAAUUUGGAAGUUCUUCUUGGGUUCUUGGUUACAUUUCUUUGUAGAACAAUUCUGUAGGUAGAGAGAGAGUGAUGGCCAUUUUUUCAUCUGAAACUAGAGUAACAUGUAAUGUGGACUGUGAACAUCAAUGAUGAGGUUAAGUGAACAUCAAUGAUUUAGGAUUAAUAAUAUGAAUGUGAUGGUGUUAAGUGAUUAGAAGUGGGAAAAAGGUCAGCCGCUUGUGUCCUCUUUCAUCUUUAUUUAUGUUCACAUCAUCAUAUGAUGUGAUGGUUGGUCCAAGUAUCUAAUCUUUUUCUU
This is a long non-coding RNA of Musa acuminata AAA Group (dessert banana), 2296 nucleotides long. RefSeq lists it as uncharacterized. The transcript is spliced from 3 exons. The record is from RefSeq and is a predicted model, not a curated record. Lineage: Eukaryota; Viridiplantae; Streptophyta; Magnoliopsida; Zingiberales; Musaceae.